This 433-nucleotide ribosomal RNA is filed under the name uncultured bacterium. RNAcentral's name for it is "partial 16S ribosomal RNA". It matches the Rfam family "Bacterial small subunit ribosomal RNA", at positions 29 to 507 of the family's 1533-position model. The record is from RNAcentral.
AACGAACGCUGGCGGCAUGCCUAACACAUGCAAGUCGAACGAGACCUUCGGGUCUAGUGGCGCACGGGUGCGUAACGCGUGGGAACCUGCCCUUAGGUUCGGAAUAACUCCCCGAAAGGGGUGCUAAUACCGGAUAAUGUCUUCGGACCAAAGAUUUAUCGCCUUUGGAUGGGCCCGCGUUGGAUUAGCUAGUUGGUAGGGUAAAAGCCUACCAAGGCGACGAUACAUAGCUGGUCUGAGAGGAUGAUCAGCCACACUGGGACUGAGACACGGCCCAGACUACUACGGGAGGCAGCAGUGGGGAAUAUUGGACAGUGGGCGAAAGCCUGAUCCAGCAAUGCCGCGUGAGUGAUGAAGGCCUUAGGGUUGUAAAGCUCUUUUACCCGGGAUGAUAAUGACAGUACCGGGAGAAUAAGCUCCGGCUAACUCCGUG